Molecule: ribosomal RNA, 530 nt
Filed under: uncultured Chrysochromulina
Lineage: Eukaryota; Haptophyta; Prymnesiales; Chrysochromulinaceae
Description: bacterial SSU rRNA
Rfam family: Bacterial small subunit ribosomal RNA
Source: RNAcentral
CUUUAGUGGCGAACGGGUGCGUAAUACGUGAGAAUCUGCCCUUAGGAGAAGAAUAACUGCUGGAAACGGCUGCUAAAUCUUCAUAUGUCGAGAGAUGAAAUAGCUUAGGCUGCCUAAGGAUGAGCUCACGCCUGAUUAGCUAGUUGGUGAGGUAAUGGCUCACCAAGGCCACGAUCAGUAGCUGGUUUGAGAGAACGAUCAGCCACACUGGGACUGAGACACGGCCCAGACUCCUCCGGGAGGCAGCAGUGAGGAAUUUUCCGCAAUGGGCGAAAGCCUGACGGAGCAAUACCGCGUGAGGGAUGAAGGAUUUUGGUCUGUAAACCUCUUUUCUCAAGAAAGAAGUUCUGACGGUACUUGAGGAAUAAGCAUCGGCUAACUCCGUGCCAGCAGCCGCGGUAAUACGGGGGAUGCAAGCGUUAUCCGGAAUCAUUGGGCGUAAAGCGCCUGUAGGUUGUUUAAUAAGUCUGUUGUUAAAGACUAGGGCUUAACCCUAGAAAAGCAAUGGAAACUACUAGACUAGAGUAUGG